GAACGCAUAUUGCGCUCUCUGGUAUUCCGGAGAGCAUGCUUGUUUGAGUAUCAGUAAACACCUCAGCCAGAUUCUUUUCUGGAUGGACUUGAGCAAACCCAACGUGUGGUCUCUUCGGAGGCAGCGGCGGGUUGCUUGAAAUGCAGGGGCAGCUGUGACAAGAACAGACUGAGCUAAAAGCAUAUCUAAUUUAGUCCGCCUGGCGGAUUAUCUCUAUUUGCUGCAGUUCAACCAAAGUCGUCUUGUCUAGCUGACUGAUGCAGGAUUUGGCAGACUUUCUGUCUCUCUUUGAGAGAUAGACUUCUUUCAAAACUCGAUCUCAAAUCAAGUAAGACUACCCGCUGAACUUAAG
RNAcentral lists this unclassified non-coding RNA (352 nucleotides) under uncultured fungus. RNAcentral describes it as "sequence contains 5.8S rRNA gene". The stretch from base 1 to 53 matches the Rfam family "5.8S ribosomal RNA", at positions 102 to 154 of the family's 154-position model. Lineage: Eukaryota; Fungi. The record is from RNAcentral.